GUAACACCAUACUUCAUUUAAGUUAUUUUUAUUAAUAUCCUACCAAACGUCAUUAAUUGUUGCACUAUUAAUUAAUUUUUACUCCCUUAACAAUGACUCCUUUAAAAUUUACCGGAGGAAUACUUAACCUUCAAUUUUUUAACUUUCUACCAAACAUCUUCUUAAGGUUAUGCAUUUCUCGGGCGUUAAACUUUGUAUUUUACUUGUGUUGGAAUUGAAAAUCUUACCAUUUACAGCCUGGGACAGUGUAGAUUUGGCAUCAGAUUAAGAACUUAUAGCAUCAUUGAAAAUAUUGAAAUAAAAAGUUGUGGUUAUUGUGAACUUUCUAACUUUCAUGUGUUUAAAUCGGAUAAGAAUUGCAGUUAUGUUAUCAUUCAAAGUCCUUUUGGGUUUUGGCUCCAAAAGUGUUCAUUUGAUUUCCUUUGAUUUCAUGUUCUCACUAAGUUGAUGGAAGAAGACUUAAUUGUGGAAUCACAUUGAAUUAAUCUGAAUUAUGGCAUACCUUUGAAGUGGCUGUUGCAUAUAGAUUGCCUUUUUUUACUCUUUUACAUGGUUUUAAAUAUCAUCCUUGAAUGAGAGCAAGAGAGUUUCACUGCCAAGGAGUUUGGAUGAUUUAUCCAGAUGUCUAGAUACAAAUGCUUGACAAAUACAAAAGUAACAAAACCUUUUGUUAUAAUUUGGUUAUAGGGAAUAUUAGAACUCUUAAGAAUAUUUGUAUGAUAUUCUUACUAGAACUUACUGAGUUUAAUUUGUGUGUUAUCAUCUUGUCUUUGAAGAUGGGCAUUUGAUCUGCAUAAGAUGAAGUUAGCCAAGGGUUAAGCCUGCCCGUGCAGAGCUAAUACUUGGUCUAUGAAUUUCCAAACUGAGUGAGUGGUUGCCUGGUUGGGUCCAUAUACAUAAGGUUGGCCAGGUAGCUGGCUGUACUGGCUUAUAUUUAGGGGUGGCCACUGAGCAGGAACUGAACCGGACACUUUCAGCCUGGUUCAAGAUUGGUUUUGGUCAAUCCAGUUUUGAUUGGUUUUAGUUUCAGAUUGGACCCGUCCAGUUCCAAACUGGAUCAUGGCGCAGUCUACUUAUAUUGGAAAUGAUGUUGUUCCUGGUAACUUCCUUUUUACAGAAGCUAAUAUGAGACUAUUGUAUGUUUCAGGGCGUCAGAGAAUGCAACACCCAA
RNAcentral lists this unclassified non-coding RNA (1171 nucleotides) under Hevea brasiliensis (rubber tree). The record is from RNAcentral. Lineage: Eukaryota; Viridiplantae; Streptophyta; Magnoliopsida; Malpighiales; Euphorbiaceae.